GACGAACGCUGGCGGCGUGCCUAAUACAUGCAAGUCGAGCGGACAAAAGGGAGCUUGCUCCCGGAUGUUAGCGGCGGACGGGUGAGUAACACGUGGGUAACCUGCCUGUAAGACUGGGAUAACUCCGGGAAACCGGAGCUAAUACCGGACAGUUCCUUGAACCGCAUGGUUCAAGGAUGAAAGACGGUUUCGGCUGUCACUUACAGAUGGACCCGCGGCGCAUUAGCUAGUUGGUGAGGUAACGGCUCACCAAGGCGACGAUGCGUAGCCGACCUGAGAGGGUGAUCGGCCACACUGGGACUGAGACACGGCCCAG
This 316-nucleotide ribosomal RNA is filed under the name uncultured bacterium. RNAcentral describes it as "bacterial SSU rRNA". It matches the Rfam family "Bacterial small subunit ribosomal RNA", at positions 28 to 334 of the family's 1533-position model. The record is from RNAcentral.